ACAGCAGCAGCCGCGGGAAUACGUAGGGUGCAAGCGUUAAUCGGAAUUACUGGGCGUAAAGCGUGCGCAGGCGGUUAUAUAAGACAGAUGUGAAAUCCCCGGGCUCAACCUGGGAACUGCAUUUGUGACUGUAUAGCUAGAGUACGGCAGAGGGGGAUGGAAUUCCGCGUGUAGCAGUGAAAUGCGUAGAUAUGCGGAGGAACACCGAUGGCGAAGGCAAUCCCCUGGGCCUGUACUGACGCUCAUGCACGAAAGCGUGGGGAGCAAACAGGAUUAGAUACCCCAGUAGUCCCUGUCUCUUAUAC
Molecule: ribosomal RNA, 305 nt
Filed under: uncultured bacterium
Lineage: Bacteria
Description: partial 16S ribosomal RNA
Rfam family: Bacterial small subunit ribosomal RNA
Source: RNAcentral